ACGCUCGACACCUACGGGAGGUAGCAGUGGGGAAUAUUGGGCAAUGGGCGCAAGCCUGACCCAGCAACGCCGCGUGAAGGAAGAAGGCUUUCGGGUUGUAAACUUCUUUUGUCAGGGAACAGUAGAAGAGGGUACCUGACGAAUAAGCCACGGCUAACUACGUGCCAGCAGCCGACGGUAAUCUGAGGCGGGCUGGCAAGGC
This 202-nucleotide ribosomal RNA is filed under the name uncultured bacterium. RNAcentral's name for it is "partial 16S ribosomal RNA". It matches the Rfam family "Bacterial small subunit ribosomal RNA", at positions 328 to 539 of the family's 1533-position model. The record is from RNAcentral.